CUUUUAAAAUCAAUUUCAUAACCAUGACUUUUAACAUUCAAUCUAUUUAUAUUUUUUUUCUACAGUCAUGGUGUUUAUUGCAAGAAGUUUAAUGUGAAAGAAAUACAUAUUAUUUUUUUAUUUUAUCUGGAUUAUAUACUAGUGUGAAUUUUUAUCAUAUUUUAUAUAACAAAUUAUUAAGCUUUUUCACUUAAUAUAAUUUUACGUGUUUUACAAGGACAAGGGAAUGUCUAAACAUUAUUAAAGUUACUUAAAAGAAAAAGAUAAUAUAAACUUAUGUCAAUUUUGGUCAUUAUAUGAUAAAAUAACCCAUUUGUAAUAAAAUUUACCAAAUGCAUGUACAUUACUUUUUAAACUCACAGCAACCGCAACAACACAAUUUAUCAAACACCAAGUUGCUUUUUUUAAUUAGCUGCUUAUUGCAUCCGCACAACAGAAGCAACUUAUUUGAUCAACAACCGCAAUCCUAAAUAGGCUCUUAAGUAUGAUCGAUCGUUGUUCAUGACAUUUCAAAAAAACAAAUUUGAGCUCAUUGCCUCCUCCUCCCCAAGGUAAAAAUUAUAAGUUAUUUAUAAAUAAACAUUUGACCCGUGCAAUUUGUCUUUUUUUAAAUUUAAUUUAUUUAUCUUUAUUUGACAUGUGUUUUCUUGAUACUAAAAAUUUGCAUAAAAUUACAUCAAUAUUAAUUUUGGUUUGUUGUAUUUGCAGAAAGAAGCUUGGAUAUGUCAAACAAAGUGAGCAGCUAGAUGGUAUAAAGUGACCAUCUAGAUGGUCAACAACAACUUUGUUUGAAGAAGAAUUUGGUAGCAUCAAAUUUGGAAUGAAGAAAAAGAAGAAAGAAGAAGAUGGAAGAAUAGGAUGCCGCCCAAGAAAAUUAAAAUAUAAUAAUGAUUUAAUAGCCAAAACUUUGGCUAUAAAUAGAGAGGCUCCCUCCUCAUUUUAUUCAUUCCAUUUUUCUUAAGUUUCUCUUCUCUGUUUUGUAAAAGAGAAAGAGUUGUGUGAGAGAUUAAGAGUUUUAAUACUCUUGUGUAAUUAAUGGUGAGAGAUUGGGUGUAUUGGAGUUUUGGGUAGUGAGCCAAAAUAUUACAAUACUUGUAAUCCUUAUUUCACUAGUGAAAUAUUUUCAUUCUGUCUUCGCACGUGGACAUAGGUUAAAAGCCGAACCACGUAAUUUCUAGUGUCCUCUUUUGUGCUUGUUCUUUAUUUUCUUCCAAUUUUAUUUUAGCUGCGUGUCUGCUUCACCCACCAAUUUCCAAACAGUAGUAUCAGCGCUAUUGGUUGAAUUUUUUAGAGUCAGGUACUGUUCACGUAAGGGGUACUAUUCACGUAUAUGGCAUUGUUCACGUAUAUGAUACUAUUCACGCAUACGGUACUAUUCACGUGAAACAGUGGGAGCGAUCCAAGAAUUUUGCGAUGCAAAGUAGGGAAUAGUGGUGUGAGUAAAGCAACUGUGUGAUUUUGUAUAUGUCUAGGAAAGUUCUGUCACAAAGACAAUAAGAGCUUAAGGAGUCUGGAUUUUAAGUAGGACCAUUGUGACCCCUCCAGUCUUUCCUGGGAACUUUUCUGGUGUGCAUAUUUACACAUACUCACAACUAUUCAAAGUAAUAUACUAGCUUGUGUACAAUAUUUAUCAACAAAAUGGCGGCAAAAUAUGAAAUUGAGAAGUUUAACAAAAAUAAUUUUUCGUUGUGGAAAAUGAAGAUGAAAGCUGUAUUGAGGAAAAAUAAUUGCUUGGCAACAAUUGGAGAAAGGCCCAUAGAGAUAACUGAUGACAAGUGGAACGAGAUAGAUGGCACCGCCAUUUCUGAUCUACACUUGGCACUUGCAGAUGGAGUAUUAUCCAGUGUGGCAGAGAAAAAUACAGCGAAAGAAAUAUGGGAUACUCUUACAAAAUUGUACUAGGCCAAGUCACUACACAACAAAAUCUUCUUGAAAAGUAAACUUUAUACUCUUCGAAUGACGGAUUCUACAAUAGUGACCAAUCACAUCAAUACCUUGAAAACUCUAUUUUCACAACUCAUAAUGUUGGGUCAUAAUAUAGAGGAGAAUGAACGUGCAGAGCUUCUACUUCAAAGUCUACCAGAUUCGUAUGAUCAACUCAUCAUCAACCUGACGAACAACAAUCCAGCGGACAGUCUAGUUUUCGACGAUGUUGCAGCCUCCGUAUUAAAUGAGGAGAGCAGGCAGAAAAAUAAGAAAAACAGACAAGCAAGUUCGCAACAAGCGGAGGCGCUAUCGGUACCGAGAGGGAGAUCAACGGAAUGUGGCCCCAAUAGGAGUCACAAUCAUGGUAGAUCAAAAUCCAGAAGUAAGAAGAAUGUUAAAUGCUACAAUUGUGGCAAGAAACGGCACGUCAAGAAAGAGUGUUAGAGUAACUAGAAGAGAAAAGAGGGCAAAGAACCUGAGUCAUCAAAUACUCAAGGGUGUGUAACAAGUACUUCGGAUGAUGGCAAAAUUCUUUACAGCGAGACAACAACUAUUUUAGAAGGCAGAAAACGAUUAUCUGAUGUCUGGCUUAUAGACUUAGGAGCUACCUGGCACAUGACUUCUAGGAGAGAAUGGUUCCACAUAUAUGAACCUAUCUCAAGAGGAUCUGUAUAUAUGGGUAAUGAUCAUGCCUUGGAGAUCGCUGGUAUUGGUACUAUCAAAGUAAAAUUAUUUGAUAGUAUAAUUCGCACAAUUGGGGAGGUACGACGUGUCAACGGCCUGAAGAAAAAUCUAUUGUCUUUGGGACAAAUGGAUAGUCAUGGGUACAAAACUCAUGUGGAGAAUGAAAUUAUAAAGAUUGUUAAAUGAGCGCUUGUAUUGAUGAAGGCAGAAAGGAUCAGUGCUAAUCUAUUCAUGCUUAAAGGAGAAACACUACAUGAGGCUGAUGCAUGUGUCGCAUCAAAUGGAGAAGAGUCAACGAUGAUAUGGCAUCUCAAACUUGGCCACAUGUCAGAACAAGGUUUAAAGAUUCUCUCUGAGCGAAAAUUGAUUCCGGGGCUCAAAUCGGUAAGUUUACCAUUUUGCGAGCAUUGUGUUACAAGUAAGCAGUAUAUAUUAAAAUUCAGUAGAUCUAUUGCUACAAGUAAAUGCAUUCUAGACUUGAUUCAUUCUGAUGUUUGGGAAUCACCGAAUAUAUCCAUGGGAGAUGCAAAGUACACGGUGACUUUCAUUGAUGAUUAUUCCAGAAGAUGUUGGGUGUAUCCAAUUAAGAAAAAGUCAAAUAUAUUUUCAGUGUUUAAAGAAUAUGACACAACUUAAAAGUAAUUUUUAACUCCGAAGUAUAAGAGUGUCUUGUUGUAUUAUAACUCGGUGAGUCCGAGGUCGAUCCACAGAGAAAAGAUUUAAUUAGUUUAUUUUAUUUUAUCUAUAAAUUGAAAUUAAAACUUGAAUAUAAACAACUUAAUUUAAAUGAAACUAUGGAAUUGAACUAGUUAGGGUUAUGGAUCCACUCUUAGAAAUAAAUAAAACUUAAUAAAUUCUUUUGGCCAGUUUUUUUUUAGAUUUAUUACCCAAAAGAAUAAUUAUACAAAUUAUUAUUAUUUUCCCUUUAAUUUUAUGACGGAUUAAGUAUUUAUUGUGCCAAAAUUUAAUUUGUCUACAAUAAGUCAAAAUACCAUUUCACCAUGCCUUAUAUUAAGAUCUUAAGAAUUUAUUGUGCCAAAUUCAUUUGAUUGUCUACAAUAAAUCAAAAUUUCAAAAUAUAAAACAUGUAUAAAAUUAAAUAGAAAAUAAUUUAAUUUAUAAAAUUAAAAAUAGAAUUUGAUUAAAUCAUAUUUAUUUCCUAAGAGUUUCACCUUCCCCUAACUAAUAUUAUUUAGUUAAGCAUAAUUAAAAUAAAAAGAAGUAGUAAAAUUGAAUUACUUAUAAUUAAAAGAAAUAAAAACAACUAAAAUUGGAAAUAAAACUAAUUUUAUUAAUGAAAAUAAUUAUACAAAAUAUUGAAAAUACACCUGGAAAUCAAGAUUACAAGGAGAUGGAGAGAAUUUGAGAAGAAGAGAGUUGUAGAGAGAUUAUUAAAAACAUAAAAAUGAGGCUCUAUUUAUAGAAAAAUAAAUUCAUAAUCCAGUGCUUUGCGGUCCAUCAUAAGCUUCAUGCAUGUGCUCCUCACAACCUUUAGAUCAAGAUCCAAUGGCUGGUCAAACUUCAAAAGUCAACAUCACACGUGGCAUCGUUUGACUCGUCCGAUUUGCCCAAAGAACGGUUGAGAUUUGGCGGGUUAAUGGGUGGAUCGGGUCGACCUGAAUACAAAGAUUCGGAUCCUCCAACUUGCUUCACCAACCAUUGCCACGUGGCACAAUCAUGGCCAUUGAAUCAUGAACAGUUGAGAUUUAGUCAAAAUUACCAGCUAUCCCAUGCACUCAUAUCUAUUGUAAGCUCAUUUCAUCGUCCAAUCAGUGCUCGGUCAAUAGAAAAAGUCAACUUUUUUUUACACAAGCCCAAUUUUAAGCCGAUCUUGACUGAUCUUAAGGUUUUUGGACCUCCGGAAUCCAAAUUUGACCUCCGUUUAUUUGUUUGGAGCCUCGAAGUACGUGAAAUUAAUAUUUUUCCUAAUAAACACAUAAAAAUAUACAAAAUUAAAUAUAUUUAAAACAUAAUUCAUAAUUCAUAAUUCAUAAUAUAUUACAUAAACACAAAUAUAAAUUAAAACAUAAGCAUAAAAUAACAUAUUAUCGCUUGAUAAUUAAACAAUUUUUAAUACUAAUCAGAAUACAAAGCGCGGGUGGAACUUGAAUAUGGUAAAAAGAUCAAGUGUUUGAGGACAGAUAAUGGUGGAGAGUAUACAGAGGGCGAGUUUCUUGCUUUCUGUAAGCAAGAUUGUAUUCAGAGGUAGUUCACGGUGGCAUACACUCCUCAAAAAAAUGGAGUGGCAGAGUGGAUUAAUAAAACUCUUACAGAACGAAUAAGAGCUAUGUUGAGGAUUGCUGGUCUACCCAAUUUAUUCUGGACAGAAGCAGCCAAAACUACCUGUUAUAUAGUAAAUCGAUCGCCAUCUACAGCUAUUGGGCUGAAGACAACGAUAGAGAUGUGGACUGGAAAGCCAGCUGAUUAUUCCUACCUACAUGCAUUUGGAUGUCAUGUGUACGAGAUGUGCAAUACCCAAGAAAGAACAAAGUUGGAUGCAAAAUCUAGAAGAUGUAUCUUCUUGGGGUAUACUGAUGGAGUAAAGGGGUAUCGUCUGUGGGACCCCACUGCCCACAAGAUCGUCAUCAGCAAAGAUGUUAUCUUUAUAGAAGAUCAAGUGCAAAGGAGAGAUGUUGAUGAUAGCAGUGUAAAAGAAAAGUUAGAGACUAUACCGGUAUAUGUAGAAAAUAAUCCAAAAGAUUUAAAUUCUUCUAAAGCAACACCAGAGCACGAAGAACAAGAACCAGUCGAGUUUGAGGCUCCAAAAGUUAGUCGGUCAACUCGUGAGAGACGACCGCCAACGUGGCACUCGAAGUAUGUCACUGAGAUCAAUGUUGCGUACUGUCUUCUAACUGAGGAUGGAGAGCCAUCAACUUUCCAUGAAGCUUUAAACAGCUCAGAUGUUUCUUUGUGGAUGACAGCAAUGCAGGAAGAAAUUGAAGCUCUACACAAGAACAAGACAUGGGAACUUGUACCACUACCACAUGGAAGAAAAGCCAAUGGAAACAAAUGGGUUUACAAGAUCAAACGUAAUGGCAAUAACUAAGUGGAGCGGUAUCGUGCAAGAUUGGCGGUGAAAGAAUAUGCUCAGAAAGAAGGUAUUGACUUCAACGAGAUAUUUUCUCCGGUGGUUCGACUUACAACAGUCAGAGUAGUCUUGGCGAUGUGUGCUACAUUUGACUUACAUCUUGAGUAGUUAGAUGUGAAAACUGCAUUUCUUCAUGGAGAACUUGAAGAAGAAAUAUAUAUGCUCCAACCAGAAGGUUUUGCAGAAAUAGGAAAGGAAAACUUGGUUUGCAGGUUGAACAAAUCUCUAUACGGUCUCAAACAGGCGCCGAGGUGUUGGUAUAAGAGAUUUGAUUCAUUCAUCAUGAGCCUUGAAUACAACAGACUCAGUUCAGACCAUUGUGCAUAUAAAAAAAAAUUUGAAGAUAAUGAUUUCAUUAUUUUGUUGUUAUAUGUGGAUGACAUGUUGGUAGUAGGCCCCAACAAAGAUCGAAUCCAAGAAUUGAAGGCACAGUUGGCUAGGGAGUUUGAAAUGAAGGACUUGUGACCAGCAAACAAGAUUUUAGGGAUGUAAAUUCACCGAGACAUAAAUAACAGGAAGAUUUGGCUUUCUCAGAAGAACUACUUGAAGAAAAUCUUGCGACGUUUCAACAUGCACGAUUGUAAGCCAAUUUAUAUCCCACUUCCUGUUAAUUUCAAGUUAUCCUCAAGUAUGUGUCCUAGCAAUGAAGCGGAGAGGAAGGAGAUGUCUCGAGUACCGUAUGCAUCAGCAGUGAGAAGUUUGAUGUUCGCUAUGAUAUGUACAAGACCAGACAUUGCACAAGCAGUGGGAGCAGUCAGUCGAUACAUGGCAAAUCCUGGUGGAGAGCAUUGGAUAGUUGUGAAGAGGAUUUUGAGAUACAUCAGAGGAACCUCAGAUGUUGCAUUAUGUUAUGGAGGAUCAGAGUUUACUGUCAGGGGCUAUGUGGAUUCAGAUUUUGCAGGAGACCUUAAUAAAAGGAAAUCUACUACUGGCUGUGUGUUUACACUUGCGGGAGCAGCUAUAAGUUGGGUUUCAAAACUGCAAACAGUUGUGGCUUUAUCUACAACAGAAGCAGAAUACAUGGCAGCUGUACAAGCUUGCAAGGAAGCUAUUUGGAUACAAAGAUUAUUGGAGGAACUCGGGCAUAAACAAGAGAAAAAUUUUUGUGUUUUGUGACAGUCAGAGUGCUUUGCAUAUUGCAAGGAAUCCAGUUUUUCAUUCCAGGACAAAGCACAUAGGGGUACAGUAUCGCUUCGUUCGAGAAGUAGUGGAAGACGGAAGUGUGGAUUUAUAGAAAAUCCAUACGAAGGAGAACCUAACAAAUGUUUUGACCAAGCCGAUAAAUACUGAUAAGUUUGUCUGGAGUAGAUCCUCUUAUGACCUAGUAGAAACGUAGGCAACAUGACAAUGGCGAAGCAGAAAGGAUGAUGUGGAGAUUGAUUGAUUCUCAAUCAAAUCUCCAAGUGGGAGAAAUGUCAAACAAAGUGGGCAUCUAGAUAGCAUAAAGUGGCCAUUUAGAUGGUCAAUAACAACUUUGUUUGAAGAAGAAUUUGGCAGCAGCAAAUUUGGAAUGAAGAAAAAGAAGAAAGAAGAAGAUGAAAGAUUAGAAUGCCGCCCAAGAAAAUUAAAAUAUAAUAAUAAUUUAAUAGCCAAAACUUUGGCUAUAAAUAGAGAGGCUCCCUCCUCAUUUUAUUCAUUCCAUUUUUCUUAAGUUUCUCUUCUCUGUUUUGUAAAAGAGAAAGAGUUGUGUGAGAGAUUAAGAGUUUUAAUACUCUUGUGUAAUUAGUGAGUGAAAGAUUGGAUGUAUUGGGGUUUUGGGUAGUGAGCCAAAAUAUUACAAUACUUGUAAUCCUUAUUUCACUAGUGAAAUAUUUUCUUUCUGUCUUCGCCCAUGAACAUAGGUUAAAAGUUAAACCACGUAAUUUCUGGUGUCCUCUUUUGUACUUAUUCUUUAUUUUCUUCUAAUUUUAUUUUAACUGCGUGUCUGCGUCACUCACCAAUUUCCUAACAGGAUAGAUAAACAAGAUAAUGUCGCCAUCCAAGCACAUCUCGGAGUAGAAAAUGAGAUGAGCUGAGAUUGGAUGCUCUUGCAGAACUACAUAUUAAAAUGCAAUUUCGGCUCAAUUACAACAAGAACAAGAGGGACUUCAAGUGCCGGGAGAAUCCAAUUAAUGCAUGCAUGCGUGCAUGCAUUGCCCAUGCUACAAACUCAAAUUGAAAUUAGCAAGAUUUCAGCUCAACUUGUUGAAAAAAGGGCAAUAUUAGUUUUUCACUUUUGUUUUAACUAAUAUGUUAUGUAUGGCUUUCAAUGUAAUUAAAUUAUUUUUUGGUUUAUGAGAAUUCAUCUCCCGAUUCUUGUCAUUAUCGAACGUUGUUAGAAAAAUCUUUGAAGAGCUUUGAAUGAGAUCCAUUUUACUCCAUUCACAAAUAAAAAUUAAAAACAAAAGUUUUAUAUCUAAAAUCAAUUAAAAACCAAAGUUGUAUUUCUUUUCGGAAAUUUUAUUUUCCUUUAUUUUAUUUUUGUCAUUAAGAAUAGAACAUUAACUAAAUGAAAAAAUUCAAUAUUGUUACGCUAACUAGAUUUCCUUUUUUGUUCUGAUAAAUAAAUUCCUUUCACAUUGACAUGUCGUUUAAGAUUUGCUAAAAGAAGAAACAAUAAAUUUAAAGUAAAGUUAAUCUAUUG
Molecule: long non-coding RNA, 8321 nt
Filed under: Citrus x clementina
Lineage: Eukaryota; Viridiplantae; Streptophyta; Magnoliopsida; Sapindales; Rutaceae
Description: Citrus clementina (C. clementina) long non-coding RNA (CCLE_LNC001072)
Source: RNAcentral